AUUAGCUCGUGUCGUGAGAUGUUGGGUUAAGUCCCGCAACGAGCGCAACCCUUAUUACUAGUUGCCAGCAUUUAGUUGGGCACUCUAGUGAGACUGCCGGUGACAAACCGGAGGAAGGUGGGGACGACGUCAAAUCAUCAUGCCCCUUAUGACCUGGGCUACACACGUGCUACAAUGGAUGGUACAACGAGUUGCGAGACCGCGAGGUUUAGCUAAUCUCUUAAAACCAUUCUCAGUUCGGAUUGUAGGCUGCAACUCGCCUACAUGAAGCCGGAAUCGCUAGUAAUCGCGGAUCAGCAGCCGCG
Molecule: ribosomal RNA, 305 nt
Filed under: uncultured Lactobacillus sp.
Lineage: Bacteria; Bacillati; Bacillota; Bacilli; Lactobacillales; Lactobacillaceae
Description: bacterial SSU rRNA
Rfam family: Bacterial small subunit ribosomal RNA
Source: RNAcentral